GACGAACGCUGGCGGCGUGCUUAACACAUGCAAGUCGAACGGAAAGGCCUCUUUCGGGGGGUACUCGAGUGGCGAACGGGUGAGUAACACGUGAGUAACCUGCCCUUGACUUUGGGAUAACUUCAGGAAACUGGGGCUAAUACCGGAUAGGAGCUCCUGCUGCAUGGUGGGGGUUGGAAAGUUUCGGCGGUUGGGGAUGGACUCGCGGCUUGUCAGCUUGUUGGUGGGGUAGUGGCUUACCAAGGCUUUGACGGGUAGCCGGCCUGAGAGGGUGACCGGCCACAUUGGGACUGAGAUACGGCCCAGACUCCUACGGGAGGCAGCAGUGGGGAAUAUUGCACAAUGGGUGGAAGCCUGAUGCAGCAACGCCGUGUGCGGGGGGACGGCCUUCGGGUUGUAAACCGCUUUCGCUCAUGACGAAGCUUUGUGUGACGGUAGUGGGUAAAGAAGCACCGGCUAACUACGUG
RNAcentral lists this ribosomal RNA (467 nucleotides) under uncultured bacterium. Its description in RNAcentral is "partial 16S ribosomal RNA". It matches the Rfam family "Bacterial small subunit ribosomal RNA", at positions 28 to 507 of the family's 1533-position model. The record is from RNAcentral.